UACGUAGGUGGCAAGCGUUGUCCGGAUUUACUGGGCGUAAAGAGCGCGCAGGCGGUCGUUCAAGUCGCGUGUGAAAGCCCCCGGCUCAACUGGGGAGGGUCACGCGAUACUGAUCGACUCGAAGGCAGGAGAGGGUAGUGGAAUUCCCGGUGUAGUGGUGAAAUGCGCAGAUAUCGGGAGGAACACCGGUGGCGAAGGCGGUUCUCUGGGCCUGACCUGGCGCUGAGGAGCGAAAGCGUGGGGAGCGAACAGG
Molecule: ribosomal RNA, 253 nt
Filed under: uncultured bacterium
Lineage: Bacteria
Description: partial 16S ribosomal RNA
Rfam family: Bacterial small subunit ribosomal RNA
Source: RNAcentral